GCCGAAGUGGCGGAAUUGGUAGACGCACCAGACUCAAAAUCUGGCGGUGGCAACACCGUCCCGGUUCGAUUCCGGGCUUCGGCA
RNAcentral lists this transfer RNA (84 nucleotides) under Fibrobacter sp. RNAcentral's name for it is "tRNA-Leu". It matches the Rfam family "tRNA". Rfam says of the family: Transfer RNA (tRNA) molecules are approximately 80 nucleotides in length. Their secondary structure includes four short double-helical elements and three loops (D, anti-codon, and T loops). Lineage: Bacteria; Pseudomonadati; Fibrobacterota; Fibrobacteria; Fibrobacterales; Fibrobacteraceae. The record is from RNAcentral.